CCCACUGCAUCCCAAAACCAGUCCAACCUGUCUCUGCCUCCCUAACCUGUUCUUCCUCUCAGCCAUCCCUUCCUCCCACCCCAAGCCGCACCCCCAGCUACCUACUAACCUCAUCCCACCUCCUUGACCUGUCCGUCUUCCCUGGACUGACCUUUUCUCUCCUCUCCACCUUCGGUCCGCCUCCCCCUCUCUCCCUAUUUAUUCCAGUUCCCUCUCCCCGUCCCCCUCUCUGAUGAAGGGUCUAGGCCCGAAACGUCAGCUUUUGUGCUCCUGAAAUGCUGCUUGGCCUGCUGUGCUCAUCCAGCCUCACAUUUUAUUAUUUUAGGAGAGAGAGAGCUGUUUUGGUUUGUGAUACAAGAGACGAGGCUGUCUAUGCCUUUCACCCAUCGGUAGCUCUCCUCCUGUCCCUGCCUCUAUGCACACACUCUGCCAGGCAUAGUCUUCCUCCCUCUGUGUGUGUGUGUGUGUGUCUCUCUCUCGCUUCAGCUCCUAAAACCUAAGAUGCAUCGGAUAUAAAAACACGCACAUAAACACACACACACACAUCAACAAGCCAUGGAGAAAGAUCAGGAAUUACUGCAAGCUGUCAAAACCGAAGAUGUAGCUGCAAUGCAGAAGCUGUUGCAAAGGCCGAAACAAGGCAAAGCGAAACCAUACGAUUAGACUGUUUUGAUGAGAAAUUUAAAGAUUACGUGUCCCGUCCGUUUGACUCACAGUUUGGUACCAUAGGUUGGUACGAUCUUCGUUGGAGAAGGAAAAGGGAUGUUCCAGAUACAGAAAACCGUCAAACCAUUUACAACAAAGUCCGUUUCUGAACCAUACGAUGAGACUGUUUUGAUGAGGAAUUGAAAGAUUAUGUGUCCCAUCCAUUUGACUCACAGUUUGGUACCAUAGGUUGGUACGAUCUUCGUUGGAGAAGGAAAAGGGAUGUUCCAGAUACAGAAAAUCGUCAAACCAUUUACGACAAAGUCCGUUUCUGGGUGGAGUUAGUGGAACCGAAAAAGAUGUCUCCCUCACAGCGUUUGUGACAAAAGAAUUGCAUCGUUCCUUGGCGAC
Molecule: long non-coding RNA, 1056 nt
Organism: Stegostoma tigrinum
Lineage: Eukaryota; Metazoa; Chordata; Chondrichthyes; Orectolobiformes; Stegostomatidae
Exons: 4
Source: RefSeq, a predicted model, not a curated record